Molecule: ribosomal RNA, 253 nt
Filed under: uncultured bacterium
Lineage: Bacteria
Description: partial 16S ribosomal RNA
Rfam family: Bacterial small subunit ribosomal RNA
Source: RNAcentral
UACAGAGGGGGCGAGCGUUGUUCGGAAUUACUGGGCGUAAAGGGCGCGUAGGCGGCCCGCUAAGUCGAACGUGAAAUCCCCAGGCUCAACCUGGGAACUGCGUCCGAUACUGGCAGGCUUGAAUCCGGGAGAGGGAUGUGGAAUUCCAGGUGUAGCGGUGAAAUGCGUAGAUAUCUGGAGGAACACCGGUGGCGAAGGCGGCAUUCUGGACCGGUAUUGACGCUGAGGCGCGAAAGCCAGGGGAGCAAACGGG